UCCUGGAUAGUUCAGUUGGUUAGAGCAUGGUGCUGAUAAUGCCAAGGUUGCAGGUUCGAGUCCCAUAUGGGGCA
Molecule: transfer RNA, 74 nt
Filed under: Podarcis lilfordi (Lilford's wall lizard)
Lineage: Eukaryota; Metazoa; Chordata; Lepidosauria; Squamata; Lacertidae
Description: tRNA.Ile
Source: RNAcentral